RNAcentral lists this ribosomal RNA (277 nucleotides) under uncultured bacterium. RNAcentral's name for it is "partial 16S ribosomal RNA". It matches the Rfam family "Bacterial small subunit ribosomal RNA", at positions 30 to 309 of the family's 1533-position model. The record is from RNAcentral.
AUUGAACGCUGGCGGCAUGCCUUACACAUGCAAGUCGAACGGCAGCACGGGGGCAACCCUGGUGGCGAGUGGCGAACGGGUGAGUAAUACAUCGGAACGUGCCCCGUAGCGGGGGACAACCAGUCGAAAGACUGGCUAAUACCGCAUACGCUCCACGGAGAAAGCAGGGGAUCGCAAGACCUUGCACUAUGGGAGCGGCCGAUGCCCGAUUAGCUAGUUGGUGAGGAAAGGCUCACCAAGGCAACGAUCGGUAGCUGGUCUGAGAGGACGACCAGCC